This 69-nucleotide small RNA is filed under the name Legionella israelensis. RNAcentral's name for it is "Salmonella enterica sRNA STnc40". It matches the Rfam family "Salmonella enterica sRNA STnc40". Lineage: Bacteria; Pseudomonadati; Pseudomonadota; Gammaproteobacteria; Legionellales; Legionellaceae. The record is from Rfam by way of RNAcentral.
GUCUUUUAAUGAGACAUCAGACAAAAGCAGAAUAUCAAAGUUAAAGGCGCAGAUUUCUGCGCCUUUUUU